RNAcentral lists this ribosomal RNA (404 nucleotides) under uncultured bacterium. RNAcentral describes it as "bacterial SSU rRNA". It matches the Rfam family "Bacterial small subunit ribosomal RNA", at positions 355 to 776 of the family's 1533-position model. The record is from RNAcentral.
UGGGGAAUAUUGGACAAUGGAGGAAACUCUGAUCCAGCCAUGCCGCGUGAGUGAUGAAGGCCUUAGGGUUGUAAAACUCUUUCAACGGUGAAGAUAAUGACGGUAACCGUAGAAGAAGCCCCGGCUAACUUCGUGCCAGCAGCCGCGGUAAUACGAAGGGGGCUAGCGUUGUUCGGAAUCACUGGGCGUAAAGCGCGCGUAGGCGGACAGGUAAGUCAGAGGUGAAAUCCCGGGGCUCAACCCCGGAACUGCCUUUGAAACUAUUUGUCUAGAGACUCGGAGGGGAUAGCGGAAUUCCUAAUGUAGGGGUGAAAUCCGUAGAUAUUAGGAGGAACACCAGUGGCGAAGGCGGCUAUCUGGACGAGUACUGACGCUGAGGUGCGAAAGCGUGGGGAGCAAACAGG